AACUUUCGGCAAUGGAUCACUUGGCUCUCGCAUCGAUGAAGAACGCAGCGAAAUGCGAUAAGUAAUGUGAAUUGCAGAAUUCAGUGAAUCAUCGAAACUUUGAACGCACCUUGCGCUCCUUGGUAUUCCGAGGAGCAUGCCUGUUUGAGUGUCAUUAAUAUAUAUAUCAAACUUCUCUUGUUGAGUGGUUUGGAUGUGGGGGUUUGCUGGACUCUUGAAGGGUUCAGCUCCCCUGAAAUGCAUUAGCAGAACAAACCUGUUCAUUGGUGUGAUAACUAUCUACGCUGUUGAAUGUGAGGGGCAGUUCAGCUUUCUAACAGUCCUUGGACAAUUCAUCAUUAAUGUGACCUCAAAUCAGGUAGGACUACCCGCUGAACUUAAGCAUAUCAAUAAGCGGAGGCU
This 402-nucleotide unclassified non-coding RNA is filed under the name uncultured Cortinarius. Its description in RNAcentral is "sequence contains ITS2". The stretch from base 1 to 154 matches the Rfam family "5.8S ribosomal RNA". The record is from RNAcentral. Lineage: Eukaryota; Fungi; Basidiomycota; Agaricomycetes; Agaricales; Cortinariaceae.